AGCAGCCGCGGUAAUUCCAGCUCCAAUAGCGUAUAUUAAAGUUGUUGCAGUUAAAAAGCUCGUAGUUGAAUUUCGGGGUCAGUAGGUUGGUCAUGCCUCUGGUAUGUACUGGCCUCACUGAUUCCUCCUUCCUGAUGAGCCAUAAUGCCAUUAAUUUGGUGUUGCGGGGAAUCUGGACUGUUACUUUGAAAAAAUUAGAGUGUUUAAAGCAGGCUAACGCUUGAAUACAUUAGCAUGGAAUAAUGAAAUAGGACGUUCGAUCUUAUUUUGUUGGUUUCUAAGAUUGACGUAAUGAUUAAUAGGGAUAGUUGGGGGCAUUAGUAUUCAAUUGUCAGAGGUGAAAUUCUUGGAUUUAUUGAAGACUAACUACUGCGAAAGCAUUUGCCAAGGAUGUUUUCAUUAAUCAAGAACGAAAGUUAGGGGAUCGAAGACGAUCAGAUACCGUCGUAGUCUUAACCAUAAAACUAUGCCGACUAGGAAUCGGAUGAUGUUAAUUUUAUAAUGACUCU
Molecule: ribosomal RNA, 509 nt
Filed under: uncultured Glomus
Lineage: Eukaryota; Fungi; Glomeromycota; Glomeromycetes; Glomerales; Glomeraceae
Description: SSU rRNA
Rfam family: Eukaryotic small subunit ribosomal RNA
Source: RNAcentral